AAAACCUAAUCUCCCACCGAUGGCCUCCGCCAACGAGCAGCGAUCCCAGGCCGAGCUCCUCUUCAGUCUCUGCAAGCAGACCGAUCCUGACUUGCUCUCACUCAAACUCGCUCACCUCCUCCAAUUCUCUCCGGCGCAGGAGGCCCGGGCCAUGUCCGCCAUUCUCCUCCGCAGGCAGCUCACCCGCGACGACUCCUAUAUCUGACCCAGGCUCUCCCCGACGACGCAGUCCAGCCUCAAAUCGAUUCUCCUGUCCUGUAUUCAACGCGAGUCAAAUCGAUUUCCAAGAAGCUCUGCGACACCAUCUCCGAGCUCGCCUCCGAAAUCUUGCCGGACAACGGCUGGCCGGAGCUCCUCCCGUUCAUGUUCCGGAGAUAGGGAUAGGUUUCAGGACCUAUUUCCGGCGAUGAUGAGGACAUUCAUGGAGUCUUUGAACAACGGGAACGAGGCCACGGCACAGGAGGCACUCGAGUUGUUCAUCGAAUUGGCUGGGACCGAGCCAAGGUUCCUCAGGAGGCAGAUUUUGGAGGUGGUUGGUUCUAUGCUGCAUGUUGCUGAAGCUGAGUCCUUGGAAGAAGGGACCAGACACUUGGCCAUAGAGUUUGUAAUCACUCUAGCCGAGGCCAGCGAUGGAGCCCCGGGGAUGAUGAGGAAGUUGCCGCAGUUUAUUAGUAGGUUGUUUGCCAUUUUGAUGAAGAUGGUUUUGGAUAUUGAGGAUGAUCCCUCAUGGCAUACCGCGGAGACUGAAGAUGAGGAUGCUGGUGAGUGGUAAUUACAGUGUUGGGCAGGAGUGUUUGGAUAGGCUUGCCAUUUCCUUGGGUGGGAAUACCAUUGUUCCCAUCGCGUCCGAGCAGUUGCUUGCCUAUUUGGCUGACUCCGAGUGGCAGAAACACCAUGCAGCAUUGAUUGCCCUUGCAUAGAUUGCUGAGGGUUGUUCUAAGGUAAUGAUAAAAAAUUUGGAGCUAGUGGUGGCAAUGGUCUUGAACUCGUUUCAAGAUCCUCAUCCUCGUGUAAGGUGGGCAGCUAUUAAUGUGAUUGGACAGCUGUCUACUGAUUUGGGCCCAGACCUGCAAGUUCAAUAUCAUCAACGGGUGCUUCCGGCAUUAGCUGUUGCCAUGGAUGAUUUUCAAAACCCUCGUGUGCAGGUACAUUGAUAUCAGUGGCUAAUUUAUUUAUCUGUAAUGACACUUGUGAAGAGAAAUAAGAGUGUCUAAGAAGCUGACAUUCUUGGUGGCUUGAACAAGAUAAUAGUUGGUGUAUUAUUAGGAGACUAUAUCUAAGGCUCUUUUUCUUAUUGGUUACCACAAGUGUAGAGGUAUUGUCAAUCGAGACUUCACGAGAGGAGCGGUGACUGAUAGGCUACCCUAGUCACAAAGGAUCAAUCUGAUUGGAUUAUUGAACAAUUAUAGCAUCUGUCUCCAAAAUCAGCAUGAACACCAUAUGACUGCUAAGCACUAGUGCAUCUCACAUGCGUUAUUGUCUUGUAGGGUUCCAGACGUGAACAUAUUUCUUGAUUUGUUAUGCCAGAUGAAUGCAAACUUGUGUUUCACACAGUGAUAGAUGCCAUAUUUAUUGAGGCUAUGAAGAAAGUACUGUGAAUAUGGUUUUGAAAGAUGUAUCUCAUGGUACUGGGGAUUUAUUUGUUAUGUAGCAGCAGUCAUCCGAAAAUUGUUAUUAGGCUUUCAUAGGUAGGAAACAAAAUGACUGGAAUCUGGUGAAUUAGUUAUUAGAUGCGAUUUAAAUUCAAUGCAAAUUUUUACUGGAUCUAUAAAAGAACGUGAAAACUUGGAUCCUAUAGUAGAUAUAUUAUGGAUGCUAAACUUAUGAUUUGCAAAGUAUAUUUUCACUUCUUUUUUUUUCCUUUUAGCUCAGAUUUAUUGCAAGUUAAUUCUCUCCCUUCUGUUGUUGCAAAACUUUUCCUUGCUUGGUGGGUUUAUAUUGGAACAGAUUUCUCAAUGAAAUCUUUACUGCCAUUGGCCGGGGAUGUCAUUCUUCUUUUCAUUAUUACGUGGUUCAUGACAUUUUUCACGUAGAAAACUAAAGGCCAAACCAUUUGUAGUUCCAUAGAUUCUGGAGGUCAAUUGACAGCUCAUUAUUCUUACGAGUGGCUUAGACAUUGAUUGUUUCUAUUUUAGAAUUCUCUAAAUUGAUGAAUGUCUGUCUAGAAUCCCCACCUUUGUAUCCCUUAAAAGAAUGAAUUAUGUUAUAAGCAGAUAAUAAGUGCCACUUUUGUAUGCUGUCAUAGAAUUCCAAUAAUUUCUCAGUGAUAGGAACUCAUGCAUACCUGUCCUAUUUUCUAAUACAAUCCCUUAUAUCUCAGAAUUGUGGAUUUUCUGGCUAUAGAGUGCUUUUCUUGGUUUUGUUACUUGAAUUUCUGAUUAAGCAUACUCUGAUAUAUUAUUUGAUAUUAAAAAACAUUCUUGCAUUAGCUUCCGUUCAUUUGGAUAUCGUAUAAGCCGUAUACUAUUAUUAUCUUCAAAAUGAAUACAUUCCUCUAAGAAUUGCGAAUUAUAGUUUCAGUUGAAAAAUGCAAUUGGAAUUAUUUAAAGCUUGUUAUGUGCUAGAGGGACACAUAUUUCCUACAUCUGCUUGUAUUCAGUUCUGCUCUAUCAGCAAAGACUCUGAGCCCACAAUACCCUGCUUAAUGCCUGUAAAGGGGAACUAUUUCUCUUGAAUUGUUUUUGUACUUUAAAAUGUUGUGAGACAAGUAUAUUCAUUUGAAAAGUUGUGCAACAUAUGUAAAUAUGGAGGUAUACUAGAGAGGCUCUAAAGAAACAAAAAGUACAUGAAGUAACAACCAGACUCCGGAAAGUUAGAACAUCAAAUGGUAUCCGAAUUCUCCUUGACCUGGUUGAUGUGAGUCAUCAGUAGCAUUUGUUCAAGACUUGCUUGCUGGGGAUGCCAAUGGUUGGCUUCACUUGCUUAACCAAAUGCUUGUGAAUCUGAACAAUGGUCUUGUAAAAGGGGCUGUACUUAAUUUGUUCUUUGAAUAACUAGAAACUUCUCAAACAAAUCCAGUUUGGCUUUAUCAAACUGAAAGGAGAUAAUACACUACAGCCCCCUUCAAUCUCUCUGAGUGAAUUGCGUUAAGAGCCCCCUUCCCCCUUCAAUCUUUCUCAUUGGCAUAUAUUUACACUGCAGAUGGCUCCUUAUGAUCUUCUUUUUGUAGUUUUUGUUUUGCACAGAAGUUCUGGGAGAUACACUUGCAACUCAUUUAGACAAAUGCCUCGUGUUUAUAUUGGGUGCAUGAAGUCAAGCAAAGUUUUCUCUGAGCCGAGUCAAAAGUGGUAUGAACCAGAACGGUGGAAGGUUGGUGAUAAAAAAUUAUAUUUUCGCCAAGCUUCAGGUGAGAUGUAUGUCAUUUCUCAAGGUCUGCCCAAAUUUGUUUGAAUAAAUUGCUCCUAUCAUCAUUAGUUUCAUCAAGGAACAAGCACUACAAAAAAGAAUUGAUGUAAUUGAUAUUUUCGCCAUGCUUCAUGUGAGAUGUAUGACAUUUCUCAAGGUCUGGCCAAUUUUGUUCGAAUAAAUAGAGAUAUUCUCCGUACCUAUGCACAUGAUGAUGUCUGUGUCGGAUCUUGGUUAAUUGGGCUUGAUGUUAAACAUCUUAAUGACGCCAAGUUUUGCUGCUCCUCUUGGACAGCAGGAGCCAUUUGUGUUGGUGUAUGAUUUGAUUUGCUUUGAGGUGGUGGAUCAAAGUAAAACCAGAUGCAGGGAGAUGGUUUAAAAGACAUUGGAUUCAUAUCCAUGAGAUGUUUGCAGCCUGCACAAUGUAGAGUAUGAAGAUCAAGGAAAAACCAUAUCUGUGAUUGAGAAUUUAUUCUAAGCGUCUUACCCGUAGGUGAAGUAGCUUUGUUCCCAUUAUAGUACACUGCAGAUAGGAAAGAAGGGAUUUCAACAAACUAUGCCUAGAGAAGGCAGUCGUAUAGCUUUAUAGGUUUAAAUUUGUUAAUUUAAUAGUGUAAUGGAGGGUGUUCUUAUUGCAACAUAAUCAAACACAUUUCUUUUGUAGCAUGUUGAUUCGCCUUGGGUUAUUCUUUAUUCAGAGUAGUAAAAAUUUUGGAUUCCCUUUGAAA
This is a long non-coding RNA of Rosa chinensis, 4073 nucleotides long. RefSeq lists it as uncharacterized. The transcript has 8 exons. Lineage: Eukaryota; Viridiplantae; Streptophyta; Magnoliopsida; Rosales; Rosaceae. The record is from RefSeq and is a predicted model, not a curated record.